This 390-nucleotide RNase P RNA is filed under the name Marinithermus hydrothermalis DSM 14884. Its description in RNAcentral is "Bacterial RNase P class A". It matches the Rfam family "Bacterial RNase P class A". Rfam says of the family: Ribonuclease P (RNase P) is a ubiquitous endoribonuclease, found in archaea, bacteria and eukarya as well as chloroplasts and mitochondria. Its best characterised activity is the generation of mature 5'-ends of tRNAs by cleaving the 5'-leader elements of precursor-tRNAs. Lineage: Bacteria; Thermotogati; Deinococcota; Deinococci; Thermales; Thermaceae. The record is from Rfam by way of RNAcentral.
CGGGAAGGGGGCACGGUCGCGCCGCCUGCCCCCUUGGGGCUGAGGCGGUGAGGAAAGUCCGGGCACCGGAGGGCAGGGUGCCAGGUAACGCCUGGGCGCCGUAAGGCGACGGAAAGUGCCACAGAGAACAGACCGCCGAUCCGGCCUGGGGUUCCCCAGGUGUCAUGGAGGCAAGGGUGAAACGGUGGGGUAAGAGCCCACCAGCGUCCCGGGAGACCGGGGCGGCUCGGUAAACCCCACCCGGUGCAAGGCCAAGUAGGCAGGGAGGGCUUGCCCGGCCCGAGAGAACCUGCGGGUUGGCCGCUCGAGGCCGGUGGCGACACCGGUCCCAGAGAGAUGACCGUGGCCCCGCAAGGGGUACAGAACCCGGCUUACACCCCUUCCCAAGAC